RNAcentral lists this ribozyme (73 nucleotides) under unclassified sequences. RNAcentral describes it as "HDV ribozyme from F. prausnitzii". It matches the Rfam family "HDV ribozyme from F. prausnitzii". The record is from RNAcentral.
GCUACUCAAAUCUUCACACACCUCUUCGUGGUGAGCAGCAGGCAACGGUCUUAUGACUGGCUGAGAUGUGAAG